AGGAUGGCAACCGGCUUGUUCUGCGAUCAGUUCUCCGUCUGGAUGGCUCUGUGCAACGUGACUCCUGGUGGCUUCAAAGCCUCCUUUGUUUACAAAAGGAUGAUGAUGUGGGGUGUCCAGGGAGACAGACUGGAAGAGAACAAAGUGAGACAUGUUUUACUGAAGACGCUAACCAGAGUCAAGACACUCUCACAAACAAAAGCCUGCGAUGAAUUUCGUGGAUGGCUGUUCCGUCAGUGAGAGGCAGCUUGAAAAACACAGUGCGAAAAAUGCCCAAGGCAUGGCCAUCCUUGGCCUUCCACCACCCGGAAGAGAUUGUAGGGAGAGUCCUGCUGGCAGGGGUGGCUCCCACCAGUAAGCUGUCGCCUCAAGGAGCAGGCGGUGAAGGAGAGGGGCAUGGCUCCCACAUCCUUAUUAGCAAUCUUCCGUGUGUGGCAUCUAGCACUGAAGAAGGAGCUGGAUCCCAGCUCUCGGCUGAGUCACACUCAAAGUCACGCGCCAGCUUGCUGCUCUCAGACACGGCGUUGCGGGACAGGCAUGGCGCUCUGCCGUCAGAACGGACUGAUCUCUUUCAGAAGUUGUUCUGUUUUUGUACCGAAAUAUUUUCUCUGUCCUCAGAAUUCCUCUUGUGGGGAGGAGUCACGUUGUCCUCUACACAGGAAAUCCAGCAUGUGGGCUGAAGAGCUUCAGGGCACUGACUACACAGCAACACGCCAGAGUUGGGUCGGGGUCUCCAUUGACUUUUGGUGGCUAACAGGUUCUUUCCUUAAGCUCUUCAGCAUCUAGCAGAAUUGCUUCAAUGCUUUUGUUGGAGGAGGAAAAUGGAGUUUGUGACCCACAAGAGGCAGCGCGAAGCUAAACUUGCAGAGGAGGGGGAAUUCCGUGACCUUGGCGUGGAGUCAGGCCCAGGGAGUGGAAUGUAAAUCUUUUCUGAUUCACAUCAUUUUGUGAUGUGGGUUCUCUGAGAUUCUGGGAGCCUGGGUUCCUUUAAAUCCAUCUAUUUAACUAGUUCUACAGGGAGAAAACUCCAGAAGGAUUAGAGGCUGUAAAGAAAGUCAAAAUUAUAGACAAACUGAAUUGUAGGCUUAAGGUAACUGGAGUAAGGGCCUGAUGACCCAAGUGGAAGUUCUGAGUCUGUCAUUCAUAGCUCAGAGACCCCUGAAAAAAAUCACCAUUACUUUCUGAGCCUUAGAUUUACCUGAAAAAAAAAAGAGAUCAUUGUAGCUGUCUCCUCCACCAGCUCCCCACCCCUCUCACAGUUGUUAGGAUGGGCAUGAAAGUUUCCUGCAAAUUAUAAAGCACGCUGCUUCCAGGACUGGACACAUCUUGCUCGUGUAUGUGCAUGAGAAUAUGUGAAAGUGAAUACCAGGUGAGCAUUUUGCUCAUGUGCGGGUUUGAGAUUUCCAUUUUAAUUUUCCCUUUUGUUUGCUCAUGGGGUAAUUGGAUGUAAGCGUGUCGGGGAAGGGACAUUGUGCUGUUCAUGGCAGGGUGGACGUAUCAGCCGAUCUUCACUCCCUGUGGACUGGAAACCUGCAGCUGCAGAAAUUAUGCCUCAGUCGGCUUUGUCCUGACAUGGGCAUCAUGUUAUAGUCCUCGGAGAGAGACAGGUGGGCCUGUGACAAGGCCUCCAAAGUAAAGGCCUGCUUCAAAAGCAGAAUGUGAAGGAGACACGUGGGGACCCAGCAUUGCUUUUCUAUUCCUAGAAGUCCUGUGAUGGUCUAAAAUAUUUUCUUUCCCAUCUCCCUGGCCUGCCAAAGCAUUAUCUGAUCUUGAAAAAAUCUUUUAACCUAAGAACUAUUUUAAUGUUUUGUUUUGACUUGUUUUUGGAUGAGAUUCUUAGGGAGAAAGAAAUCUUUAGUUUUUCCUUUAUUUUCUUUUUAAAAUAGGCAUUUUUCAUGAAAAUCCUCUUGAAUUAAAGGGACAGUCUCUACAUAGGAAACGAUCAUUGUGCUGUGCAGUGGUAAUUGUCUUACUGGUCACAGUCUUGUAUGCAAAAAAAAAAUUAUUCUCCAUUCCACUGCAAGGAAGCCGUUGGAGUCCAACACCGCAGUAGUGGGCCAAGUGUACUCAGUACGGCUUUCAGGCGCAACGGACAGUUAAAGCGUUGAAUGACCCUCCCACCAGCACGGCCCUAAAGUCACAUUGCUAACCCCGGAAGCUAUAGCAGUUGAAAUUAAACAGCAGGCCCAAAGUGAAGACAACCUAUUGUUUCCACGGAAAAAGUGCCCUUAACUUUUCUUGUGAAGUUUAAGACCAGAGAAGACAGACAUGUUUCCCAAAAACAGCAUUUUUAAGACAGAGAGAGAGAAAGAGAGACUUAAGAGGACCUGAAUUUUGUGACAAUUAGUAGUAAGAGUAUAAAUUUCCACUUUUAUAUGGUACCUUUUAUCCAGAGAACUCAAUGAACCAUAAAUAUUAAGCUCUCACCAAUUUCUUAGUCCUUAUGUCUUUGAAUUCACUUUAUUCGUAGCCUCCGCGCAGUUUCCUAUCAGCUUUUGGAUCUCGAUGGAGGUGGUGGUGGUGAGGGCACUGUGUUGCUCUUGGACCUGUUUAUUAGUUGAGAUGGAACCCAGGUUCAAAGGAUCCUCUCUCUGCAGGUCACACUGAGUAUUUUGUGGAACAAAGACUAGAUCUGUUCGCAACAACCUCUACUUUUGUUGAUCUAAACUCUUGAUGGUCUUUUUCGAAAGGAUAUUUCUGUCUGGUAAUAAAUUGCUUGAGCCAGUC
RNAcentral lists this long non-coding RNA (2727 nucleotides) under Equus caballus (horse). RNAcentral's name for it is "lncRNA (ENSECAG00000056133.1)". Lineage: Eukaryota; Metazoa; Chordata; Mammalia; Perissodactyla; Equidae. The record is from RNAcentral.